GGACUACCGGGGUAUCUAAUCCUGUUUGCUCCCCACGCUUUCGUGCCUCAGCGUCAGUUGCGCACCAGUGACCUGCCUUCGCCGUUGGCCUUCCGAGUGAUCUCUACGCAUUUCACCGCUACACCACUCGUUCCGGUCACCCCUCACGCACUCCAGCUCGCCAGUAUCAGAGGCCAUUUUCCGGUUGGGCCGAAAACUUUCACCCCUGACUUAACAAGCCGCCUACGCACCCUUUAUGCCCAGUGAUUCCGAACAACGCUCGCCCCACAUGUCUUACCGCGGCUGCUGGCAC
Molecule: ribosomal RNA, 292 nt
Filed under: uncultured bacterium
Lineage: Bacteria
Description: partial 16S ribosomal RNA
Source: RNAcentral